AAAUCGAGCAUCUGAUUGCAGCGGAUUUGGAGCGGCUCUUCAUACUGCUGGCUCAAUUUCCGUUACCCAACACAAAGCUAAUAUGUUAGAAUUGUUUGCGAAGACCCACAAACAUAAGGAUGAGACAUGGGUGGAUAAGAAAUCAAAGCAUGUUGAGAAUGCUAUAGAACAGGCUACGUAAAAAGCAUCUGAAGAAAGAAGUAAUGCACCAAAUGAGAUGGAUGUGUGGUGUGAAAUAGCUAGAGUUAAAAAGGGAAGAAUUUAUGGACUUGGAAUAGAAUUCACUGCAAUUGACAAAAGACCUAGUUAUCGUGGCUCCAGAUCUCAGUCAUCUGAUUGGUUGUGAAUGUCAGAACAUGAAGAAAUAAUGAAGAAAAUACAAGAAGAGAAUGUUGACUU
Molecule: non-coding RNA, 399 nt
Organism: Arachis ipaensis
Lineage: Eukaryota; Viridiplantae; Streptophyta; Magnoliopsida; Fabales; Fabaceae
Source: RefSeq, a predicted model, not a curated record